This 253-nucleotide ribosomal RNA is filed under the name uncultured bacterium. Its description in RNAcentral is "partial 16S ribosomal RNA". It matches the Rfam family "Bacterial small subunit ribosomal RNA", at positions 524 to 776 of the family's 1533-position model. The record is from RNAcentral.
UAUGAAGGGGGCUAGCGUUGUUCGGAUUUACUGGGCGUAAAGCGCACGUAGGCGGAUCGUUAAGUCGGGGGUGAAAUCCUGGAGCUCAACUCCAGAACUGCCUUCGAUACUGGCGAUCUAGAGUCCGGAAGAGGUGAGUGGAACUCCUAGUGUAGAGGUGGAAUUCGUAGAUAUUAGGAAGAACACCAGUGGCGAAGGCGGCUCACUGGUCCGGUACUGACGCUGAGGUGCGAAAGCGUGGGGAGCAAACAGG